UUCCAAGGGACGUGAAAUGUGGAAACAAGAUGAAAACAAAACUGCUCUGGAGGCCAAAAGUGGAAAACCAAGGUGUGGGCAGGACGGUGCUCCUCCGGAAGCCUGUAGCGAAGGAACCCUCCGUGCCUUUCCAGCUCCCAGCUCCCGUCUCCCUCUUCAUGCGGCCUCUCUUCUGUAUUGUAC
RNAcentral lists this long non-coding RNA (183 nucleotides) under Mustela putorius furo (domestic ferret). RNAcentral describes it as "lncRNA (ENSMPUG00000026453.1)". Lineage: Eukaryota; Metazoa; Chordata; Mammalia; Carnivora; Mustelidae. The record is from RNAcentral.